This 999-nucleotide long non-coding RNA is filed under the name Marmota monax (woodchuck). The record is from RNAcentral. Lineage: Eukaryota; Metazoa; Chordata; Mammalia; Rodentia; Sciuridae.
UUUUUUAGAGACAGGGGUCUCACUGAGUUGCUCAGGGCCUCACUAAAUUGCUGAGGCUGGCUCUGAACUCAAUCCUCCUGCCUCAGCCUCCCGAGCUUCUGGGGUUAUAGAUGUGCACCACAGUGCCUGGCUAAUCUAAACAUUUCUAGUUCAAGUUGACCAUCCCUCCGACCAACCCUUGGUGAAGGUCACAGUACAUUGAGACAGUAUCAUUAUCUUUUUGUGUAUUCUCUGCUUGUUUAUUGCACUGACAUCCCACUAGUGCCCACACAGUGCCCAAGAGGGUCCUGGAUCCCUGCCUGGAGUGCAUUUGGCAAAUCACCACAACAUGGGACAACAGCCCACCUAUGAAAGGUGUCAAGGGGGCCACAGUGGAAAGACAGUACGUUCCCUGAGCCUCCAGAAAGGUGGCUUGUGGCUACACCUUGACCACCCACUCAUGGAGGGGAUCUAAGAAAAGGAGAAAAAGGUGGGCAGGGAUUGGAGUGACCAGCUCUUAGGAGGAAAGUGGUGGUAGCAGAUGAGUGGGGAAAUGUGGGAGCAGUCCAGGCAGUAGGCAGAUGCUAGAAUUAUCAUUCCCCCACCCAUACUGGGGGUUGACCAAGGGCGCUCUACCACUGAUAGACCCAACCUGAUCUUUUCUUAAAAUUGGAAGCCAUCUCACCAUAAAGCCAUGAAAAGAUAAUUUCGGCUUUACUAUAAAUUACUGCAAAUUCUGAACCUGCUUGGAAUGGCUGCCCAUGCCUUGAACUCACCCAUGCCUGGCUCUCUGACCAGAUAGCAGCUCUCUCUGAAACUUUAGUGACGCCUCACAAAUCUUGGCCUUCCCUGGCCAGAUAACGACCCUCUCUGAGGCUCUAAUGACCUUCAUAAAUUCUGAUGUUGGGGCCUGCAAAAAUGUAAACUACCAUUUGUGUUAUGCUCCUCAGAGUUUUGUUAUCUGUAACCCCCCUUUGUGUAACUUUCUGGGCUACAAAGCUGGGCUGCAGGAAAGCUGGG